Molecule: ribosomal RNA, 246 nt
Filed under: uncultured bacterium
Lineage: Bacteria
Description: partial 16S ribosomal RNA
Rfam family: Bacterial small subunit ribosomal RNA
Source: RNAcentral
UGGCGACCGGCGCACGGGUGAGUAACGCGUAUGCAACUUACCUAUCAGAGGGGGAUAGCCCGGCGAAAGUCGGAUUAAUACCCCAUGAAACAGGGGUCCCGCAUGGGAAUAUUUGUUAAAGAUUCAUCGCUGAUAGAUAGGCAUGCGUUCCAUUCGGCAGUUGGCGGGGUAACGGCCCACCAAACCGACGAUGGAUAGGGGUUCUGAGAGGAAGGUCCCCCACAUUGGUACUGAGACACGGACCAA